Molecule: ribosomal RNA, 95 nt
Filed under: Eriopsis biloba
Lineage: Eukaryota; Viridiplantae; Streptophyta; Magnoliopsida; Asparagales; Orchidaceae
Also listed under: 15 other names
Description: 5.8S ribosomal RNA
Rfam family: 5.8S ribosomal RNA
About the family: 5.8S ribosomal RNA (5.8S rRNA) is a component of the large subunit of the eukaryotic ribosome.
Source: RNAcentral
GACACGACUCUCGGCAAUGGAUAUCUCGGCUCUCGCAUCGAUGAAGAGCGCAGCGAAAUGCGAUACGUGGUGCGAAUUGCAGAAUCCCGCGAACC